RNAcentral lists this small RNA (457 nucleotides) under Pongo abelii (Sumatran orangutan). Its description in RNAcentral is "processed transcript". Lineage: Eukaryota; Metazoa; Chordata; Mammalia; Primates; Hominidae. The record is from RNAcentral.
UACGACGUGACUUCCUGCGGCGGAUCUGGAAGGAGGAGCGCCUUGAAGGAGCUUAGCCCCCCCUCUGCAACCCACCACCGUCUCCCCCUUUGGUUUCUCCUAGCCCCAUCUGCUGAAAUUGAUGUAAAUGUGGUCAUGCUUCAGGAAUCCCAAGUUUGUGAAAAGCGUGCCAGCCAACAAUUCUGUUACACGAAUGUGCUUAUCCCAAAAUGGCAUGAUAUAUGGACACGGAUACAGAUCCGAGUAAAUAGUUCCAAAUUGGUUCGAGUCACCCAGGUGGAGAAUGAGCAGAAACUGAAGGAGCUAGAGCAGUUUAGUAUCUGGAACUUUUUUUCCUCCUUUUUGAAAGAGAAAUUGAAUGACACCUAUGUUAACGUGGGUCUAUACAGCACAAAAACCUGCCUCAAAGUUGAGAUUAUAGAGAAGGACACCAAGUACAGUGUCAUUGUGAUCCGGA